UAUAACAAUUUAUAUCUCGCGGAAAAUAUAAAUAGUUGAUUUUAAUACUGAGCACGUCACGUAAGGAGGGCGCGCUACAAGUAUGACUAAUUAGUGUUGGGUGAUAUAUAAGUAUAUAGUGCAGUUAAUAAUCACACCCACACACACGAGAUCGAAGAAUAAACAAGUAACCACGUAACUUGUUCGGUUAGUACCCCACGAUAGCGGAAAGGCCCAAACGGGGUUUUUCACCAAAACAAGCAAAAUCACAUCCACACACACGUUCGAGAAAUAAACACGUAAACCACGUAACUUAUCUUAAUGAUAUCCCCACCAAGCACAGGGCUGAAAAAUGGGUGUCUCACUAAAACAAGAAGGGUAUGGGAGUGAUGGGAAUGGGAGCACAAAUUAUGAGUUAGUGAGCAAGUAAAGUUAGUGCACAAAAUUCCCGAUAAUAACGAGUGGCCAACUCGCGUAUUUUGAAAUCAAUAGAGCUUUAAGAUGAAGAGAAUGUUUUGUAUAAAAGCCCUUUGAAAAAUGGUCGGUUAAGACACGAAUAAAAUGAAGCUAAAAAUAAACCACUUACACGAUUUUUGCAAAAAGUUCGCCGGAAAAAUUCGUCGGAGGUUCGAUACAACUUUAAGUACACGAACGAAUUUGGGCAGCCCUUCGGGAGGUGUAAAAGAGUGGUUAAAGAAUAUGCUAAGAUGAACGAGGCUUGGUUGAAUGAAAACAAAGCUUCGGGGUUUAAACCUUGUGUAUAUCGAAGUAUAUGAUGAAUCGAAGGUUUAAAAACAAAGUGAAAGAAGUGAGCACUUGAAUAGACUUUGGGAGAGUGUUUGCUUCUUCAAAAUCUCAGCAUGUAUUUGGC
RNAcentral lists this long non-coding RNA (850 nucleotides) under Daucus carota (carrot). RNAcentral's name for it is "long non-coding RNA (DCAR_LNC006624)". Lineage: Eukaryota; Viridiplantae; Streptophyta; Magnoliopsida; Apiales; Apiaceae. The record is from RNAcentral.